Molecule: long non-coding RNA, 319 nt
Filed under: Elaeis guineensis (African oil palm)
Lineage: Eukaryota; Viridiplantae; Streptophyta; Magnoliopsida; Arecales; Arecaceae
Description: long non-coding RNA (EGUI_LNC059868)
Source: RNAcentral
GUCAUCUGAUAACCUAAUUGACUCAAACCUAAUUGAAUCUAAUUGAAUUAGACUUGAUCCAAUUUAUUUUACUCAAUCAAAUUGAGCUAAUUAAUAAUUUAAUUAUUAAUUAAUAUUUUUCUAAUUUAUUAAUUUUUAGUAAAUUAUUAAUUACAAUCUUUGCAUAAGAUUGAUCAUCAAUCAUUUUGAUGAUUAUUCUCUUCAAUGAUUCUCAAUCAUCGAUCAGCCAUCAGAUCAGAAUAACAUUUUAUGCUAAGUUGGUAGUAUAAGAAUAACUUUUUAUACUAAUCAAAGUGAUCAUCUAGCAAUGAUACCCAAU